Xyrichtys novacula (pearly razorfish) is the source of this 31376-nucleotide non-coding RNA. The record is from the annotation of a GenBank genome assembly. NCBI's taxonomy places the organism in Eukaryota, Metazoa, Chordata, Actinopteri, Labriformes, Labridae.
UUAGGGCCCGAGCGUAGCUGCUAAGCAGCUGCGAGAGCCCUAUUAUUCCUGAUGGAUUCUUCUUUCUUCUUCUUUAGGGCCCGAGCGUAGCUGCUAAGCAGCUGCGAGAGCCCUCUUGUUCCUGAUGGAUUCUUCUUUUGUUAUUAUUAUUAUUAUUUUUCCUCCGCUUUAAACUGGAAAAUGGCCCACUUCCCACUGGCGAAAACUCAUGAAAUUUGGCAGGACGACCGGGCCUGGUGAAAAAUUCGAUAUUCUGAAGUCACCCAAACAAUAAAAUGCAAAAUGGCUCCAUAGCGCCCCCUAAGGUGAAAAUUCACACUAUUGACUGUCACGCCUGUACGCUUUGUCAUAUUGACACAAAAAUUGACACACACAUGUAUCUCAAUAAGAUCUACAAAAAAGUCAGUGCGGGCGUAUCUGUCAAAUGUACGGUUAAAGGGUUAUUUCGCAUUUUUUGCCGAUCCGCACACAUUGGAAUUUCGCUAACUCCUCCGAAGGCUUUCGUUCCACCGGCACCACAUUUGCUCAGGCCAAUCUACACUCCAUGGCCAUUCAAAGUUGUACAAAUCAUGAUGCUGCACCCCAUGGUUUAGGUUCUAGGGGGCGCCAAAAAUAACCCAAAAAUCCACAUUCUUAAAAGUUUUAUAACUUUUUAUUUUUGUCCCCACUGGCCUCCAAGUUUUCUAGGAUGAUGCAAUGUCCAGCCAUCAACACAUUUGUGAAGGAAUUUUUACUCCCCAAAAGAGCGCACCCCCAUGGCAGGACAAAAAAGUCAAUUUUUUCUUGUCCCCUAAGGUGAAAAUACACAUUGUUGAGAUUCACGCCUGUACGCUUUGUCAUAUUGACAAAAAAUUUGACACACACGUGUAUCUCAAUAAGAUCUACGAAAAAGUCAAUGCGCGCGUAUCUGUAAAAUGUACGGCUAAACGGCUAUUUUGCAUUUUUUGCCGAUUCGCACACAUUGGAAUGUGGCUAACUCCUCCUAAGGCUUUCGUCCCACUGACACCAAAUUUGCUCAGGCCAAUCUACACCCCAUGGCCAUUCAAAGUUGUAAAAAUCAUGCCGCUGCACCCCAUGGUUUACGUUCUAGGGGGCACCAAAGAUGACCCAAAUAUCCACAUUCUUAAAAGUCGUUUUGGCCACUGCAGGAGUACAGAGUACUGCAGGAUACACACACACAGACACACACACACACAGACACACACACACACGCGCACACACACACACACACACACACACACACACACACACACACACACACACUCAGAGUCUGUUUUUCAGCACCUGCAAAAACAUGCUAUUUACAUAUUUGACAACAAUGCAGAGACUUCCUUUUGCCCCUGAAAAAAAUGAAAUUUCAAACACAACUUGACUGCUCAUUUCUCCAAAAGACAACCAUGAAGCUCCAUCCAAACCUGAAGCAGGCAGUUGGUGCAUGUGUACAGUAACCUGAGGGGAGUGAGGUGACUGCUUCUGAGGAGAACAUGAGCAGUGAAGAUUCACCUUGGAGCUAGAACAGGGACGUGCACAUGAUUAUACAGGGGCAGGGGCUCAAGUUUUUUCCAGUCGUUUAGACAAUAUGGAAAUUAAUGUGAAAUUAAAAAACAAAGUAUUAAUAGAAAGGUAAUGACUGUCCUGUGUAGGUGACAGUGAUAUCCAAUAGGCUAGGCACUCACGAGGCUGGCUGUGGCAAGUGCAAGUGAAAGCCACACGCACUGGCAGGAAGAACAGCAAACGCCGAUGAAGGAAAAGGGUCUUUGCAGUGAUGGGCGUUACCAGAGAGGACGAUGGCCAGAGGACGCGAAUGGGACGGGGAGGCAGCGCGGUGGGGGGGGGGGGGGGGCGCGACACAGCUCGGGCCCGCCAGUGCCCCAACAGGGCCCUAGUCUUAUUAUUUUUCUGCCCCUUUGAACUGGAAAAUGGCCCACUUCCCACUGGUGAAAAGUCAUGAAAUUUGGCAGGACGACCGGGCCUGGUGAAAAAUUCGAUAUUCUGAAGUCGCCCAAAAAAUCAAAUGCAAAAUGGCUCCAUAGCGCCCCCUAAGGUGAAAAAUUCACAUGAUUGAGUGUCACGCCUGUACGCUUUGUCAAAAUGACACAAAAUUUGACACACACGUGUAUCUCAAUAAGAUCUACAAAAAAGUCAGUGCGGGCGUAUCUGUCAAAUGUACGGUUAAAGGGCUAUUUCGCAUUUUUUGCCGAUCCGCACACAUUGGAAUUUCGCUAACUCCUCCGAAGGCUUUCGUUCCACCGGCACCAAAUUUGCUCAGGCCAAUCUACACCCCAUGGCCAUUAAAAGUUGUACAAAUCAUGACGCUGCAUCCCACGGUUUACGUUCUAGGGGGCGCCAAAGAUAACCCAGAAAUCCACAUUCUUAAAAGUCGUAUAACUUUUUAUUUUUGUCCUCACUGGCCUCCAAGUUUUCUAGGAUGAUGCAAUGUCCAGCCAUCAACACAUUUGUGAAGGAAUUUUUACUCGCCAAAAGAGCGCCCCCCCAUGGCAGGAGAAAAAAGUCCAUUUUUUCUUGUCUCCUAAGGCGAAAAUUCACACUAUUGACUGUCACGCCUUUACGCUUUGUCAUAUUGACACAAAAAUUGACACACACAUGUAUCUCAAUAAGAUCUACAAAAAAGUCAGUGCGGGCGUAUCUGUCAAAUGUACGGUUAAAGGGCUAUUUCGCAUUUUUUGCCGAUCCGCACACAUUGGAAUUUCGCUAACUCCUCCGAAGGCUUUCGUUCCAAAGGCACCACAUUUGCUCAGGCCAAUCUACACCCCAUGGCCAUUAAAAGUUGUACAAAUCAUGACGCUGCACCCCACGGUUUACGUUCUAGGGGGCGCCAAAGAUAACCCAAAAAUCCACAGUCUUAAAAGUCUUAUAACUUUUUAUUUUUGUCCUCACUGGCCUCCAAGUUCUCUAGGAUGAUGCAAUGUCCAGCCAUCAACACAUUUGUGAAGGAAUUUUUACUCGCCAAAAGAGCGCCCCCCCCCAUGGCAGGAGAAAAAAGUCAAUUUUUUCUUGUCUCCUAAGGCGAAAAUACACAUUGUUGACUGUCACGCCUUUACGCUUUGUCAAAAUGACACAAAAUUUGACACACACAUGUAUCUCAAUAAGAUCCAAGAAAAAGUCAAUGCGAGCGUAUCUGUUCAAUGUACGGUUAAAGGGCUAUUUCGCAUUUUUUGCUGAUUCGCACACAUUGGAAUGUGGCUAACUCCUCCUAAAUCUUUUGUCCCAUCGGCUUCAAAUUUGCUCAGGUCAAUCUACACCCCAUGGCCAUUCAAAGUUGUACAAAUCAUGACGCUGCACCCCACAGUUUACGUUCUAGGGGGCGCCAAAGAGCACCCAAAUAUCCACAUUUUUAAAAGUCUUAUAACUUUUUAUUUUUGUCCUCACUGGCCUCCAAGUUUUCUAGGAUGAUGCAAUGUCCAGCCAUCAACACAUUUGUGAAGGAAUUUUUUCUCCCCAAAAGAGCGCCCCCCCAUGGCAGGAGAAAAAGUCAAGUUUUUCCUGCCCAUCGCUCAAUGGCUCAAACGCAUCGCUCUCUCGGCAACACCGUAAGGAGGAGCAACUUGCCAUUUGGAUAUAUCCUAGCUGUGUUUGUGCCCUCACUCAUGGUCCAGACUUUUUUCAAAUAGGACAUGUAGUUUGUCUGCAGCGACCGUUUUGGUAGAAACUGCGCCUCCCAUUCAUUAUAAUGGGAAAUGACCACAGACAAGUGCGCACACCAUCUUUGGACCUUGAGUGUGACGCGAUCGGGGGGGGGGGGGUAGGCGGUCGCCCUGGGGGCGGCGCGACCCGGCUCGGGCCCGACAGUGCCCCACCGGGGCCCUAGUUAGGGCCCGAGCGUAGCUGCUAAGCAGCUGCGAGAGCCCUCUUGUUCCUGUAGUUUCCUUCUUUUGUUAUUAUUAGGGCCCGAGCCAGCUGCAGAGCAGCCGGGCGUAGGCCCUAUUAUUCCCCAAGAGGUUUUUCUUUGUUUCUUUCUUUCUUUCUUUCUUUCUUCUUUUUCCUCCCCUUUGAACUGGAAAAUGGCCCACUUCCCACUGGCGAAAACUCAUGAAAUUUGGCAGGACGACCGGGCCAGGUGAAAAAUUCGAUAUUCUGAAGUCGCCCAAACAAUAAAAUGCAAAAUGGCUCCAUAGCGCCCCCUAAGGUGGAAAUUCACACUAUUGACUGUCACGCCUGUACGCUUUGUCAUAUUGACACAAAAAUUGACACACAUAUGUAUCUCAAUAAGAUCUACAAAAAAGUCAGUGCGGCCGUAUCUGUCAAAAUUACGGUUAAAGGGUUAUUUCGCAUUUUUUGCCGAUCCGCACAUAUUGGAAUUUCGCUAACUCCUCCGAAGGCUUUCGUUCCACCGGCACCACAUUUGCUCAGGCCAAUCUACACCCCGUGGCCAUUAAAAGUUAUCAAAAUCAUGACGCUGCACCCCAAGGUUUAGGUUCUAGGGGGCGCCAAAGAUAACACUAAAAUCCACAUAUUUAAAAGUCUUAUAACUUUUUAUUUUUGUCCUCACUGGCCUCCAAGUUUUCUAGGAUGAUGCAAUGUCCAGCCAUCAACACAUUUGUGAAGGAAUUUUUACUCCCCAAAAGAGCGCCCCCCCAUGGCAGGAGAAAAAAGUCCAUUUUUUCUUGUCCCCUAAGGUGAAAAUACACAUUGUUGAGUGUCACGCCUAUACGCUUUGUCAAAAUGACACAAAAAUUGACACACACAUGUAACUCAAUAAGAUCUACAAAAAAGUCCAUGCGCGCGUAUCUGUCAAAUGUACAGUUAAAGGGUUAUUCCGCAUUUUUUGCCGAUACGCACACAUUGGAAUUUCGCUAACUCCUCCGAAGGCUUUCGUUCCACCGGCACCAAAUUUGCUCAGGCCAAUCUACACCCCAUGGCCAUUAAAAGUUGUACAAAUCAUGACGCUGCAUCCCACGGUUUACGUUCUAGGGGGCGCCAAAAAUAACCCAAAAAUCCACAUUCUUAAAUGUUUUAUAACUUUUUAUUUUUGUCCUCACUGGCCUCCAAGUUUUCUAGGAUGAUGCAAUGUCCAGCCAUCAACACAUUUGUGAAGGAAUUUUUACUCCCCAAAAGAGCGCCCCCCCAUGGCAGGAGAAAAAAGUCAAUUUUUUCUUGUCCCCUUACAUAAAAAUACACAUUGUUGAGUGUCACGCCUGAACGCUUUGUCAUAUUGACACAAAAAUUGACAAUCAUGUGUAUCUCAAUUAGAUCUACGAAAAAGUCAAAGAGCGCGUAUCUGUAUAAUGUACGGUUAAAGGGCUAUUUUGCAUUUUUUGCCGAUUCGCACACAUUGGAAUGUGGCUAUCUCCUCCUAAGGCUUUCGUCCCACCGAUACCAAAUUUGCUCAGGGCAAUCUACACCCCAUGCCCAUUCAAAGUUGUAAAAAUCAUGACGCUGCACCCCACGGUUUACGUUCUAGGGGGCGCCAAAAAUGACCCAAAAAUCCACAUUCUUAAAAGUCAUUUUGGCCACUGCAGGAGUACAGAGUACUGCAGUUCUAGGGGGCGCCAAAGAUGACCCAAAAAUCCACAUUCUUAAAAGUCUUUUUGGCCACUGCAGGAGUACAGAGUACUGCAGGAUACACACACAUAUACACACACGCCAACAUACACACACACACACACACACACACACACACACACAGACACACACACACACUCAGAGUCUGUUUUUUAGCACCUGCAAAAACAUGCUGUUUACAUAUUUGACAAGAAUGCAGAGGCUUCCUUUUGCCCCUGAAAAAAAUCAAAUUUCAAACACAACUUGACUGUUCAUUUCUCCAAAAGACAACCAUGAAGCUCCAUUUCAAACCUGAAGCAGAUAGUUGGUGCAUGUGUACAGUAACCUGAGGGGAGUGAGGUGACUAUUUCUGAGGAGAACAUGAGCAGUGAAGAUUCACCUUGGAGCUAGAACAGGGACGUGCACAUGAUUAUACAGGGGCAGGGGCUCAAGUUUUUUCCAGUCAUUUAUACAAUAUGGAAAUUAAUGUGAAAUUAAACCACAAAUAUGUGUGAUGAACUGUUUUUAAAACUUAAACUUCAAAUAAAAAUUGUAAACUUCAAAACAUAUGCAAAUUUUUAACAAAGAACAUAGUAAUUUACCUCUAUUUACAUCAAAAUGCAGGCAAUGGCCCAGGCAUUCUUUGUAAAAUUAUUUACAAAACACUGUAUAGUCUCACAAAUGUCACUUUUUAUUUAUGCCACUACAAAAAAACAUGAUGUAAAUGAUGCAUGAUGUAAAACAUGAUGUAAAAAACUUGUGUAGAUCCUCCUCUAUGUCAGUCCAUGUGUAAUUUUUCCAUAAUUCUUUGUUUUUUGCAGCAUUUUUGUUAGUGUAACUGCAGAUUGUGCUGACAGUGUCUAUGGCACAAAAAAAAAAAAAAUUUAAAAUGCCUCAACAUGAACCCCUGGUGGUCUCUGAGGGUGAAACCUGCUAACUGCUGCAGCUCUGUCAGCUUCAGUCUCCCAUGCAGAGCUCUGAGCGCAUGUGUGGCUCUGCACCCUUAGCAGCGUUGCUAACUCCUCAGUAAGGAAAGCCUGCUUCAUGUCAGAGUCUCUAAACUCCAGAAGAAGUCGAUAAAAGUCCCUUUCUUUCUAAAAAAAAGUCGUUAGGGGGUCUGAAAAGUCAUUGAAUCUAACAACAAAGUCGCUAGGUUUGCAACUACGUGUCCCAGACUGCAUCCCUGCUGAGAGUCCCUCCCUCCCUUCUCAUGUUGCAGGAAGAACGUAAGCGCCCGCCCCUUGUCAAUCAGUCACCAUAUAAUUUUGGAUUGGUUGUUGUGGUGAAGUUUUCCACCAAUAGGAGAGAUGUUGUGGUGUGUUUUUUUUUCUUUUGGCAAGCCUUUUCCGCCUGUAAGACCUGUCGCUAAUGUCUGCAUGCUAUGUUUUCCUGUCUCAUACAGCGCGAUCGAGCGCCGAACGUGAUCAAAAUAAGCAGAAAAAAAGUAUCGCGGACAUAAUUUAUCAUAACUCUGGUUUUAUUUGGCCUAUCAACACAAUUUAAAAACUGGUAUAUAGGUUGCGGUCCUCACUUUUAAGAUAAGUUGAAACGGAGAGUCAACGAGGCUCCGUCUUGCAGCUACAUCCGGUUAAAUAUGUCAUGUGACUUGAACGCACACACAGACACACACACACGCACACACACACACACACACACACACACACUCAGAGUCUGGUUUUUAGCACCUGCAAAAACAUGCUAUUUACAUAUUUGACAAGAAUGCAGAGGCUCCUUUUGCCCCUGAAAAAAAUCAUAUUUCAAACACAACUUGACUGGUCAUUUCUCCAAAAGACAACCAUGAAGCUCCAUCCAAACCUGAAGCAGGCAGUUGGUGCAUGUGUACAGUAACCUGAGGGGAGUGAGGUGACUGCUUCUGAGGAGAACAUGAGCAGUGAAGAUUCACCUUAGAGCUAGAACAGAGACGUGCACAUGAUUAUACAGGGGCAGGGGCUCAAGUUUUUUCCAGUUGUUUAUACAAUAUGGAAAUUAAUGUGAAAUUAAAAAACAAAGUAUUAAUAGAAAGGUAAUGACUGUCCUGUGUAGGUGACAGUGAUAUCCAAUAGGCUAGGCACUCACGAGGCUGGCUGUGGCAAGUGUAAGUGAAAGCAACACGCACUGGCAGGAAGAACAGCAAACGCCGAUGAAGGAAAAGGGUCUUUGCAGUGAUGGGCGUUACCAGAGAGGGCGAUGGCCAGAGGACACAAAUGGGACGGGAAGGCAGCACGUUGGGGGGGGGGGGGGGGGGACGCGACACGGCUCGGGCCCGCCAGUGCCCCAACGGGGUCCUAGUUUGUUAUUAUUAUUAUUUUUCCUCCGCUUUAAACUGGAAAAUGGCCGACUUCCCACUGGCGAAAACUCAUGAAAUUUGGCAGGACGACCGGGCCUGGUGAAAAAUUCGAUAUUCUGAAGUCGCCCAAACAAUAAAAUGCAAAAUGGCUCCAUAGCGCCCCCUAAGGCGAAAAUUCACACUAUUGACUGUCACGCCUGUACGCUUUGUCAUAUUGACACAAAAAUUGACACACACGUGUAUCUCAAUACGUUCUACGAAAAAGUCAGCGCGGGCGCAUCUGUGAAAUGUACAGUUAGAGGGUUAUUUCGCAUUUUUUGCCGAUCUGCACACAUUGGAAUUUCGCUAACUCCUCCGAAGGCAUUCGUUCCACCGGCACCACAUUUGCUCAGGCCAAUCUACACCCCAUGGCCAUUAAAAGUUGUACAAAUCAUGACGCUGCACCCCACAGUUUACGUUCUAGGGGGCGCCAAAGAUAACCCAAAAAUCCACAGUCUUAAAAGUCUUAUAACUUUUUAUUUUUGUCCUCACUGGCCUCCAAGUUCUCUAGGAUGAUGCAAUGUCCAGCCAUCAACACAUUUGUGAAGGAAUUUUUACUCCCCAAAAGAGCGCCCCCACAUGGCAGGAGAAAAAGUCCAUUUUUUCUUGUCCCCUAAGGUGAAAAUACACAUUGUUGAGUGUCACGCCUAUACGCUUUGUCAUAUUGACCCAAAAUUUGACAAUCACGUGUAUCUCAAUAAGAUCUACGAAAAAGUCAAUGGGCACGUAUCUGUAACAUGUAUGGUUAAAGGGCUAUUUCGCAUUUUUUGCAGAUUCGCACACAUUGGAAUGUGGCUAACUCCUCCUAAGGCUUUCUUCCCACCGACACCAAAUUUGCUCAAGCCGAUCUACAUCCCAUGGCCAUUCAAAGUUGUAAAAAUCAUGCCGCUGCACCCCAUGGUUUACGUUCUAGGGGGCGCCAAAGAUGACCCAAAUAUCCACAUUCUUAAAAGUCGUUUUGGCCACUGCAGGAGUACAGAGUACUGCAGGAUACACACACACAGACACACACAAACACAGACACACACACACACACACACACACACACACACACACACACACACACACACACACACACACACACUCAGAGUCUGUUUUUUAGCACCUGCAAAAACAUGCUAUUUACAUAUUUGACAACAAUGCAGAGGCUCCUUUUGCCCCUGAAAAAAAUCAAAUUUCAAACACAACUUGACUGGUCAUUUCUCCAAAAGACAACCAUGAAGCUCCAUCCAAACCUGAAGCAGGCAGUUGGUGCAUGUGUACAGUUACCUGAGGGGAGUGAGGUGAGUGCUUCUGAGGAGAACAUGAGCAGUGAAGAUUCACCUUGGAGCGAGAACAGGGACGUGCACAUGAUUAUACAGGGGCAGGGGCUCAAGUUUUUUCCAGUCGUUUAUACAAUAUGGAAAUUAAUGUGAAAUUAAAAAACAAAGUAUUAAUAGAAAGGUAAUGACUGUCCUGUGUAGGUGACAGUGAUAUCCAAUAGGCUAGGCACUCACGAGGCUGGCUGUGGCAAGUGUAAGUGAAAGCAACACGCACUGGCAGGAAGAACAGCAAACGCCGAUGAAGGAAAAGGGUCUUUGCAGUGAUGGGCGUUACCAGAGAGGACGAUGGCCAGAGGACGCGAAUGGGACGGGGAGGCAGCGCAUUGGUGGGGGGGGGGGGGGCGCGACACAGCUCGGGCCCGCCAGUGCCCCAACGGGGCCCUAGUGUUAUUAUUAUUAUUAUUAUUUUUCCUCCGCUUUAAACUGGAAAAUGGCCCACUUCCCACUGGCGAAAACUCAUGAAAUUUGGCAGGACGACCGGGCCUGGUGAAAAAUUCGAUAUUCUGAAGUCGCCCAAACAAUAAAAUGCAAAAUGGCUCCAUAGCGCCCCCUAAGGUGGAAAUUCACACUGUUGACUGUCACGCCUGUACGCUUUGUCAUAUUGACACAAAAAUUGACACACACAUGUAUCUCAAUAAGAUCUGCAAAAAAGUCAGUGCGGGCGUAUCUGUCAAAUGUACGGUUAAAGGGUUAUUUCGCAUUUUUUGCCGAUCCGCACACAUUGAAAUUUCGCUAACUCCUCCGAAGGCUUUCGUUCCACCGGCACCACAUUUGCUCAGGCCAAUCUACACCCCAUGGCCAUCGAAAGUUGUACAAAUCAUGACGCUGCACCCCACGGUUUAGGUUCUAGGGGGCGCCAAAGAUUACCAAAAAAUCCACAUUCUUAAAAGUCUUAUAACUUUUUAUUUUUUUCCUCACUGGCCUCCAAAUUCUCUAGGAUGAUGCAAUGUUCAGCCAUCAACACAUUUGUGAAGGAAUUUUUACUCCCCAAAAGAGCGCCCCCACAUGGCAGGAGAAAAAAGGCAAUUUUUUCUUGUCCCCUAAGGUGAAAAUACACAUUGUUGACUGUCACGCCUGUACGCUUUGUCAUAUUGACACAAAAAUUGACACACACAUGUAUCUCAAUAAGAUCUACGAAAAAGUCAAUGGGCACGUAUCCGUAAAAUGUACGGUUAAAGGGCUAUUUUGCAUUUUUUGCUGAUUCGCACACAUUGGAAUGUGGCUAACUCGUCCUACAGCUUUCGUCCCACUGACACCAAAUUUGCUCAGGCCAAUCUACACCCCAUGGCCAUUCAAAGUUGUAAAAAUCAUGACGCUGCACCCCACGGUUUACGUUCUAGGGGGCGCCAAAGAUGACCCAAAUAUCCACAUUCUUAAAAGAAUCCACAUCCCCCCCCCCCCCCCAUCCCCCAUCCCCCAUGGCAGGAGAAACAGUCAAGUUUUUCCUGCCCAUCACUCAAUGGCUCAAUCGCAUCGCUCUCCCGGCAACACCGUAACGAGGAGCAACUUGCCGUUUGGAUAUAUCCUAGCUGUGUUUGUGCCCUCACUCAUGGUCCAGACUUUUUUCAAAUAGGACAUGUAGUUUGUCUGCAGCGAGUGUUUUGGUAGAAACUGCGCCUCCCAUUCAUUUUAAUGGAAAAUGACCACAGACAAGUGCGCACACCAUCGUUGGACCUUGAGUGUGACGCGAUCGGGAGGGGGAGGCGGUCGCGCUGGGGGCGGCGCAACGCGGCUCGGGCCCGACAGUGCCCCACCGGGGCCCUAGUCUUUCGUUAUUUUUCCUCCGCUUUAAACUGGAAAAUGGCCCACUUCCCACUGGCGAAAACUCAGGAAAUUUGGCAGGACGACCGGGCCUGGUGAAAAAUUUGAUAUUCUGAAGUCGCCCAAACAAAAAAAUGAAAAAUGGCUCCAUAGCGCCCCCUAUGGUGAAAACUCACCUGACGCCUGUACGCUUUGUCAAAAUGACACAAAAUUUGACACACAUGUGUAUCUCAAUAAGAUCUACAAAAAAGUCAGUGCGGGCGUAUCUGUCAAAUGUACGGUUAAAGGGCUAUUUGCAUUUUUUGCCGAUCCGCACACAUUGGAAUUUCGCUAACUCCUCCGAAGGCUUUCGUUCCACCGGCACCAAAUUUGCUCAGGCCAAUCUACACCCCAUGGCCAUUCAAAGUUGUACAAAUCAUGACGUUGCACCCCACGGUUUAUGUUCUAGGGGGCGCCAAAGAUAACCCAAAAAUCCACAUUCUUAAAAGUCUUAUAACUUUUUAUUUUUGUCCUCACUGGCCUCCAAGUUUUCUAGGAUGAUGCUAUGUCCAGCCAUCAACACAUGUGUGAAGGAAUUUUUACUCCCCAAAAGAGCGCCCCCCCAUGGCAGGAGAAAAAAGUCCAUUUUUUCUUGUCCCCUAAGGUGAAAAUACACAUUGUUGAGUGUCACGCCUGAACUCUUUGUCAUAUUGACACAAAAAUUGACAAUCAUGUGUAUCUCAAUUAGAUCUACGAAAAAGUCAAAGAGCGCGUAUCUGUAUAAUGUACGGUAAAAGGGCUAUUUUGCAUUUUUUGCCGAUCCGCACACAUUGGAAUUUCGCUAACUCCUCCGAAGGCUUUCGUUCCACCGGCACCAAAUUUGCUCAGGCCAAUCUACACCCCAUGGCCAUUACAAGUUGUAAAAAUCAUGACGCUGCACCCCAUGGUUUAGGUUCUAGGGGGCGCCAAAGAUAACCCUAAAAUCCAAAUAUUUAAAAGUCUUAUAACUUUUUAUUUUUGUCCUCACUGGCCUCCAAGUUUUCUAGGAUGAUGCAAUGUCCAGCCAUCAACACAUUUGUGAAGGAAUUUUUACUCCCCAAAAGAGCGCCCCCCCAUGGCAGGAGAAAAAAGUCAAUUUUUUCUUGUCCCCUAAGGUGAAAAUACACAUUGUUGAGUGUCACGCCUGAACUCUUUGUCAUAUUGACACAAAAAUUAACAAUCAUGUGUAUCUCAAUUAGAUCUACGAAAAAGUCAAAGAGCGCGUAUCUGUAUAAUGUACGGUAAAAGGGCUAUUUUGCAUUUUUUGCCGAUUCGCACACAUUGGAAUUUCGCUAACUCCUCCGAAGGCUUUCGUCCCACUGACACCAUAGUUGCUCAGGCCAAUCUACAACCCAUGGCCAUUCAAAGUUGUACAAAUCAUGACGCUGCACCCCACGGUUUAGGUUCUAGGGGGCGCCAAAGAUAACCCAAAAAUCCACAGUCUUAAAAGUCUUAUAACUUUUUAUUUUUGUCCUCACUGGCCUCCAAGUUUUCUAGGAUGAUGCAAUGUCCAGCCAUCAACACAUUUGUGAAGGAAUUUUUACUCCCCAAAAGAGCGCCCCCCCAUGGCAGGAGAAAAAGUCAAGUUUUUCCUGCCCAUCGCUCAAUGGCUCAAACGCAUCGCUCUCUCGGCAAAACCGAAAGGAGGAGCAACUUGCCAUUUGGAUAUAUACUAGCUGUGUUUGUGCCCUCACUCAUGGUCCAGACUUUUUUCAAAAAGGACAUGGAGUUUGUCUGCAGCGAGCGUUUUGGUAGAAACUGCGCCUCCCAUUCAUUAUAAUGGUAAAUGACCACAGACAAGUGCGCACACCAUCUUUGGACCUUGAGUGUGACGCGAUCGGGAGGGGUAGGCGGUCGCACUGGGGGCGGCGCGACACGGCUCGGGCCCGCCAGUGCCCCACCGGGGCCCUAGUUCUUUCUCUCUUUCUUCUUUUUCCUCCCCUUUGAACUGGAAAAUGGCCCACUUCCCACUGGCGAAAACUCAUGAAAUUUGGCAGGACGACCGGGCCUGGUGAAAAAUUCGAUAUUCUGAAGUCGCCCAAACAAUAAAAUGCAAAAUGGCUCCAUAGCGCCCCCUAAGGUGGAAAUUCACACUAUUGACUGUCACGCCUGUACGCUUUGUCAUAUUGACACAAAAAUUGACACACAUAUGUAUCUCAAUAAGAUCUACAAAAAAGUCAGUGCGGCCGUAUCUGUCAAAAUUACGGUUAAAGGGUUAUUUCGCAUUUUUUGCCGAUCCGCACACAUUGGAAUUUCGCUAACUCCUCCGAAGGCUUUCGUUCCACCGGCACCACAUUUGCUCAGGCCAAUCUACACCCCAUGGCCAUUAAAAGUUAUUCAAAUCAUGACGCUGCACCCCACGGUUUAGGUUCUAGGGGGCGCCAAAUAUAACACUAAAAUCCACAUAUUUAAAAGUCUUAUAACUUUUUAUUUUUGUCCUCACUGGCCUCCAAGUUUUCUAGGAUGAUGCAAUGUCCAGCCAUCAACACAUUUGUGAAGGAAUUUUUACUCCCCAAAAGAGCGCCCCCCCAUGGCAGGAGAAAAAAGUCAAUUUUUUCUUGUCCCCUAAGGUGAAAAUACACAUUGUUGAGUGUCACGCCUAUACGCUUUGUCAAAAUGACACAAAAAUUGACACACACAUGUAACUCAAUAAGAUCUACGAAAAAGUCAAUGCGCGCGUAUCUGUCAAAUGUACGGUUAAAGGGUUAUUCCGCAUUUUUUGCCGAUCCGCACACAUUGGAAUGUGGCUAACUCCUCCGAAGGCUUUAGUUCCACCGGCACCACAUUUGCUCAGGCCAAUCUACACCCCAUGGCCAUUAAAAGUUAUUCAAAUCAUGACGCUGCACCCCACGGUUUACGUUCUAGGGGGCGCCAAAGAUAACCCUAAAAUCCACAUAUUUAAAAGUCUUAUAACUUUUUAUUUUUGCCCUCACUGGCCUCCAAGUUUUCUAGGAUGAUGCAAUGUCCAGCCAUCAACACAUUUGUGAAGGAAUUUUUACUCCCCAAAAGAGCGCCCCCCCAUGGCAGGAGAAAAAAGUCCAUUUUUUCUUGUCCCCUAAGGUGAAAAUACACAUUGUAGAGUGUCACGCCUGUACGCUUUGUCAAAAUGACACAAAAUUUGACAUACACGUGUAUUUCAAUAAGAUCUUCGAAAAAGUCAAUAGCCACGUAUAUGUAAAAUGUACAGUUAAAGGGUUAUUUCACAUUUUUUGCAGAUCCGCACACAUUGGAAUUUGGCUAACUCCUCCUAAGGCUUUCGUCCCACUGACACCAAAUUUGCUCAGGCCAAUCUACACCCCAUGGCCAUUCAAAGUUGUAAAAAUCAUGACGCUGCACCCCACGGUUUACGUUCUAGGGGGCGCCAAAGAUGACCCAAAAAUCCACAUUCUUAAAAGAAUCCACACCCCCCCCCAUCCCCCAUCCCCCAUGGCAGGAGAAACAGUCAAGUUUUUCCUUCCCAUCACUCAAUGGCUCAAUCGCAUCACUCUCCCGGCAACACCGUAACGAGGAGCAACUUGCCGUUUGGAUAUAUCCUAGCUGUGUUUGUGCCCUCACUCAUGGUCCAGACUUUUUUCAAAUAGGACAUGUAGUUUGUCUGCAGCGAGUGUUUUGGUAGAAACUGCGCCUCCCAUUCAUUAUAAUGGGAAAUGACCACAGACAAGUGCGCACACCAUCUUUGGACCUUGAGUGUGACGCGAUCGGGAGGGGGAGGCGGUCGCGCUGGGGGCGGCGCAACGCGGCUCGGGCCCGACAGUGCCCCACCGGGGUCCUAGUUAUUAGGGCCCGAGCCAGCUGCAGAGCAGCCGGGCGUAGGCCCUAUUAUUCCCCAAGUGGUUUUUCUUUGUUUCUUUCUUUCUUUUUAGGGCCCGAGCCAGCUGCAGAGCAGCCGGGCGUAGGCCCUAUUAUUCCCCAAGUGGUUUUUUAGGGCCCGAGCGUAGCUGCUAAGCAGCUGCGAGAGCCCUAUUAUUCCUGAUGGAUUCUUCUUUCUUCUUCUUCUUAUUAUUUUUCUGCCCCUUUGAACUGGAAAAUGGCCCACUUCCCACUGGUGAAAACUCAUGAAAUUUGGCAGGACGACCGGGCCUGGUGAAAAAUUCGAUAUUCUGAAGUCAUCCAAACAAUCAAAUGCAAAAUGGCUCCAUAGCGCCCCCUAAGGUGAAAAAUUCACAUGAUUGAGUGUCACGCCUGAACGCUUUGUCAAAAUGACACAAAAUUUGACACACACGUGUAUCUCAAUAAGAUCUACAAAAAAGUCAGUGCGGGCAUAUCUGUCAAAUGUACGGUUAAAGGGCUAUUUCGCAUUUUUUGCCGAUCCACACACAUUGGAAUUUCGCUAACUCCUCCGAAGGCUUUCGUUCCAAAGGCACCACAUUUGCUCAGGCCAAUCUACACCCCAUGGCCAUUAAAAGUUGUACAAAUCAUGACGCUGCACCCCACGGUUUACGUUCUAGGGGGCGCCAAAGAUAACCCAAAAAUCCACAGUCUUAAAAGUCUUAUAACUUUUUAUUUUUGUCCUCACUGGCCUCCAAGUUCUCUAGGAUGAUGCAAUGUCCAGCCAUCAACACAUUUGUGAAGGAAUUUUUACUCGCCAAAGAGCGCCCCCCCAUGGCAGGAGAAAAAAGUCCAUUUUUUCUUGUCUCCUAAGGCGAAAAUUCACACUAUUGAGUGUCACGCCUAUACGCUUUGUCAUAUUGACCCAAAAUUUGACACACACAUGUAUCUCAAUAAGAUCUACAAAAAAGUCAGUGCGGGCGUAUCUGUCAAAUGUACGGUUAAAGGGCUAUUUUGCAUUUUUUGCCGAUCCGCACACAUUGGAAUUUUGCUAACUCCUCCGAAGGCUUUCGUUCCAAAGGCACCACAUUUGCUCAGGCCAAUCUACACCCCAUGGCCAUUAAAAGUUGUACAAAUCAUGACGCUGCACCCCACGGUUUACGUUCUAGGGGGCGCCAAAGAUAACCCAAAAAUCCACAUUUUUAAAAGUCUUAUAACUUUUUAUUUUUGUCCUCACUGGCCUCCAAGUUUUCUAGGAUGAUGCAAUGUCCAGCCAUCAACACAUUUGUGAAGGAAUUUUUUCUCCCCAAAAGAGCGCCCCCCCAUGGCAGGAGAAAAAGUCAAGUUUUCCUGCCCAUCGCUCAAUGGCUCAAACGCAUCGCUCUCUCGGCAAAACCGAAAGGAGGAGCAACUUGCCAUUUGGAUAUAUACUAGCUGUGUUUGUGCCCUCACUCAUGGUCCAGACUUUUUUCAAAAAGGACAUGGAGUUUGUCUGCAGCGAGCGUUUUGGUAGAAACUGCGCCUCCCAUUCAUUAUAAUGGUAAAUGACCACAGACAAGUGCGCACACCAUCUUUGGACCUUGAGUGUGACGCGAUCGGGAGGGGUAGGCGGUCGCGCUGGGGGCGGCACGACACGGCUCGGGCCCGCCAGUGCCCCAACGGGGCCCUAGUUAUUUUUCCUCCCCUUUGAACUGGAAAAUGGCCCACUUCCCACUGGCGAAAACUCAUGAAAUUUGGCAGGACGACCGGGCCUGGUGAAAAAUUUGAUAUUCCGAAGUCGCCCAAACAAGAAAAUGCAAAAUGGCUCCAUAGCGCCCCCUAAGGUGAAAAUUCACACUAUUGACUGUCACGCGUGUACGCUUUGUCAAAAUGACACAAAAAUUGACACACACAUGUAUCUCAAUAAGAUCUACAAAAAAGUCAGUGCGGGCGUAUCUGUCAAAUGUACGGUUAAAGGGUUAUUUCGCAUUUUUUGCCGAUCCGCACACAUUGGAAUUUCGCUAACUCCUCCGAAGGCUUUCGUUCCACCGGCACCACAUUUGCUCAGGCCAAUCUACACCACAUGGCCAUUAAAAGUUAUUCAAAUCAUGACGCUGCACCCCACGGUUUAGGUUCUAGGGGGCGCCAAAGAUAACCCUAAGAUCCACAUAUUUAAAAGUCUUAUAACUUUUUAUUUUUGCCCUCACUGGCCUCCAAGUUUUCUAGGAUGAUGCAAUGUCCAGCCAUCAACACAUUUGUGAAGGAAUUUUUACUCCCCAAAAGAGCGCCCCCCCAUGGCAGGAGAAAAAAGUCCAUUUUUUCUUGUCCCCUAAGGUGAAAAUACACAUUGUUGAGUGUAACACCUGUACGCUUUGGCAAAAUGACACAAAAAUUGACACACACAUGUAUCUCAAUAAGAUCUACGAAAAAGUCAAUGCGCGCGUAUCUGUCAAAUGUACGGUUAAAGGGUUAUUCCGCAUUUUUUGCCGAUCCGCACACAUUGGAAUUUCGCUAACUCCUCCGAAGGCUUUCGUUCCACCGGCACCACAUUUGCUCAGGCCAAUCUACACCCCAUGGCCAUUAAAAGUUAUUCAAAUCAUGACGCUGCACCCAACGGUUUAGGUUCUAGGGGGAGCCAAAGAUAACCGUAAAAUCCACAGUCUUAAAAGUCUUAUAACUUUUUAUUUUUGUCCCCACUGGCCUCCAAGUUUUCUAGGAUGAUGCAAUGUCCAGCCAUCACCACAUUUGUGAAGGAAUUUUUACUCGGCAAAAGAGCGCCCCCCCCCAUGGCAGGAGAAAAAAGUCAAUUUUUUCUUGUCCACUAAGGUGAAAAUACACAUUGUUGAGUGCUACGCCUGUAUGUUUUGUCGUAUUGACACAAAAUUUUACAUACACGUGUAUUUCAAUAAGAUCUUCGAAAAAGUCAAUGGCCACGUAUCUUUAAAAUGUACGGUUAAAGGGUUAUUUCGCAUUUUUUGCAGAUUCGCACACAUUGGAAUUUCGCUAAUUCCUCCGAAGGCUUUCGUUCCACCGGCACCACAUUUGCUCAGGCCAAUCUACACCCCAUGGCCAUUAAAAGUUAUUCAAAUCAUGACGCUGCACCCCGCGGUUUAGGUUCUAGGGGGCGCCAAAUAUAACCCUAAAAUCCACAUAUUUAAAAGUCUUAUAACUUUUUAUUUUUGUCCUCACUGGCCUCCAUGUUUUCUAGGAUGAUGCAAUGUCCAGCCAUCAACACAUUUGUGAAGGAGUUUUUUCUCUUUAAAAGAGCGCCCCCCCAUGGCAGGAGAAUAAAGUCAAGUUUUUCCUGUUCAUCAUUCAAUGGCUCAAACGCACUGCUCUCUCGGCAAAAGCGAAAGGAGGAGCAACUUGCCAUUUGGAUAUAUCUUAACUGUGUUUGUGCCCUCACUCAUGGUCCAGACUUUUUUCAAAUAGGACAUGGAGUUUUUCUGCAGCGAGCGUUUUGGUAGAAACUGCGCCUUCCGUUCAUUAUAAUGGUAAAUGACCACAAACAAGUGCGCACACCAUCUUUGGACCUUGAGUGUGACGCGAUCGGGUGGGGGAGGCGGUCGCGCUGGGGGCGGCGUGACACGGCUCGGGCCCGCCAGUGCCCCAACGGGGCCCUAGUCUUUGUUUCUUUCUUUCUUUUUUCUUUUUCCUCCCCUUUGAACUGGAAAAUGGCCCACUUCCCACUGGCGAAAACUCAUGAAAUUUGGCAGGACGACCGGGCCUGGUGAAAAAUUCGAUAUUCUGAAGUCGCCAAAACAAUAAAAUGCAAAAUGGCUCCAUAGCGCCCCCUAAUGUGGAAAUUCACACUAUUGACUGUCACGCCUGUACGCUUUGUCAUAUUGACACAAAAAUUGACACACACAUGUAUCUCAAUAAGAUCUACAAAAAAGUCAGUGCGGCCGUAUCUGUCAAAAUUACGGUUAAAGGGUUAUUUCGCAUUUUUUGCCGAUCCGCACACAUUGGAAUUUCGCUAACUCCUCCGAAGGCUUUCGUUCCACCGGCACCACAUUUGCUCAGGCCAAUCUACACCCCGUGGCCAUUAAAAGUUAUCAAAAUCAUGACGCUGCACCCCAAGGUUUAGGUUCUAGGGGGCGCCAAAGAUAACACUAAAAUCCACAUAUUUAAAAGUCUUAUAACUUUUUAUUUUUGUCCUCACUGGCCUCCAAGUUUUCUAGGAUGAUGCAAUGUCCAGCCAUCAACACAUUUGUGAAGGAAUUUUUACUCCCCAAAAGAGCGCCCCCCCAUGGCAGGAGAAAAAAGUCCAUUUUUUCUUGUCCCCUAAGGUGAAAAUACACAUUGUUGAGUGUCACGCCUAUACGCUUUGUCAAAAUGACACAAAAAUUGACACACACAUGUAACUCAAUAAGAUCUACAAAAAAGUCCAUGCGCGCGUAUCUGUCAAAUGUACAGUUAAAGGGUUAUUCCGCAUUUUUUGCCGAUUCGCACACAUUGGAAUGUGGCUAUCUCCUCCUAAGGCUUUCGUCCCACCGAUACCAAAUUUGCUCAGGGCAAUCUACACCCCAUGCCCAUUCAAAGUUGUAAAAAUCAUGACGCUGCACCCCACGGUUUACGUUCUAGGGGGCGCCAAAGAUGACCCAAAAAUCCACAUUCUUAAAAGUCAUUUUGGCCACUGCAGGAGUACAGAGUACUGCAGUUCUAGGGGGCGCCAAAGAUGACCCAAAAAUCCACAUUCUUAAAGUCUUUUUGGCCACUGCAGGAGUACAGAGUACUGCAGGAUACACACACAUAUACACACACGCCAACAUACACACACACACACACACACACACACACACACACACACACACACACACACAGACACACACACACACUCAGAGUCUGUUUUUUAGCACCUGCAAAAACAUGCUGUUUACAUAUUUGACAAGAAUGCAGAGGCUUCCUUUUGCCCCUGAAAAAAAUCAAAUUUCAAACACAACUUGACUGUUCAUUUCUCCAAAAGACAACCAUGAAGCUCCAUUUCAAACCUGAAGCAGAUAGUUGGUGCAUGUGUACAGUAACCUGAGGGGAGUGAGGUGACUAUUUCUGAGGAGAACAUGAGCAGUGAAGAUUCACCUUGGAGCUAGAACAGGGACGUGCACAUGAUUAUACAGGGGCAGGGGCUCAAGUUUUUUCCAGUCAUUUAUACAAUAUGGAAAUUAAUGUGAAAUUAAACCACAAAUAUGUGUGAUGAACUGUUUUUAAAACUUAAACUUCAAAUAAAAAUUGUAAACUUCAAAACAUAUGCAAAUUUUUAACAAAGAACAUAGUAAUUUACCUCUAUUUACAUCAAAAUGCAGGCAAUGGCCCAGGCGUUCUUUGUAAAAUUAUUUACAAAACACUGUAUAGUCUCACAAAUGUCACUUUUUAUUUAUGCCACUACAAAAAAACAUGAUGUAAAUGAUGCAUGAUGUAAAACAUGAUGUAAAAAACUUGUGUAGAUCCUCCUCUAUGUCAGUCCAUGUGUAAUUUUUCCAUAAUUCUUUGUUUUUUGCAGCAUUUUUGUUAGUGUAACUGCAGAUUGUGCUGACAGUGUCUAUGGCACAAAAAAAAAUAAAAUUAAAAUGCCUCAACAUGAACCCCUGGUGGUCUCUGAGGGUGAAACCUGCUAACUGCUGCAGCUCUGUCAGCUUCAGUCUCCCAUGCAGAGCUCUGAGCACAUGUGUGGCUCUGCACCCUUAGCAGCGUUGCUAACUCCUCAGUAAGGAAAGCCUGCUUCAUGUCAGAGUCUCUAAACUCCAGAAGAAGUCGAUAAAAGUCCCUUUCUUUCUAAAAAAAAGUCGUUAGGGUGUCUGAAAAGUCAUUGAAUCUAACAACAAAGUCGCUAGGUUUGCAACUACGUGUCCCAGACUGCAUCCCUGCUGAGAGUCCCUCCCUCCCUUCUCAUGUUGCAGGAAGAACGUAAGCGCCCGCCCCUUGUCAAUCAGUCACCAUAUAAUUUUGGAUUGGUUGUUGUGGUGAAGUUUUCCACCAAUAGGAGAGAUGUUGUGGUGUGUUUUUUUUUUCUUUUGGCAAGCCUUUUCCGCCUGUAAGACCUGUCGCUAAUGUCUGCAUGCUAUGUUUUCCUGUCUCAUACAGCGCGAUCGAGCGCCGAACGUGAUCAAAAUAAGCAGAAAAAAAGUAUCGCGGACAUAAUUUAUCAUAACUCUGGUUUUAUUUGGCCUAUCAACACAAUUUAAAAACUGGUAUAUAGGUUGAGGUCCUCACUUUUGAGAUAAGUUGAAACGGAGAGUCAACGAGGCUCCGUCUUGCAGCUACAUCCGGUUAAAUAUGUCAUGUGACUUGAACGCACACAUAGACACACACACACGCACACACACACACACACACACACACACACACACACACACACACACACACACACACACACUCAGAGUCUGGUUUUUAGCACCUGCAAAAACAUGCUAUUUACAUAUUUGACAAGAAUGCAGAGGCUCCUUUUGCCCCUGAAAAAAAUCAAAUUUCAAACACAACUUGACUGGUCAUUUCUCCAAAAGACAACCAUGAAGCUCCAUCCAAACCUGAAGCAGGCAGUUGGUGCAUGUGUACAGUAACCUGAGGGGAGUGAGGUGAGUGCUUCUGAGGAGAACAUGAGCAGUGAAGAUUCACCUUGGAGCUAGAACAGAGACAUGCACAUGAUUAUACAGGGGCAGGGGCUCAAGUUUUUUCCAGUCGUUUAUACAAUAUGGAAAUUAAUGUGAAAUUAAAACACAAAGUAUUAAUAGAAAGGUAAUGACUGUCCUGUGUAGGUGACAGUGAUAUCCAAUAGGCUAGGCACUCACGAGGCUGGCUGUGGCAAGUGUAAGUGAAAGCAACACGCACUGGCAGGAAGAACAGCAAACGCCGAUGAAGGAAAAGGGUCUUUGCAGUGAUGGGCGUUAACAGAGAGGGCGAUGGCCAGAGGACACAAAUGGGACGGGGAGGCAGCACGUUGGGGGGGGGGGGGGGGGGGGGGACGCGACACGGCUCGGGCCCGCCAGUGCCCCAACGGGGUCCUAGUUUCUUUUUCCUCCCCUUUGAACUGGAAAAUGGCCCACUUCCCACUGGCGAAAACUCAUGAAAUUUGGCAGGACGACCGGGCCUGGUGAAAAAUUUGAUAUUCUGAAGUCGCCAAAACAAUAAAAUGCAAAAUGGCUCCAUAGCGCCCCCUAAGAUGAAAAUUCACACUAUUCACUGUCACGACUGUACGCUUUGUCAAAAUGACACAAAAAUUGACACACACAUGUAUCUCAAUAAGAUCUACAAAAAAGUCAGUGCGGCCGUAUCUGUCAAAAUUACGGUUAAAGGGUUAUUUCGCAUUUUUUGCCGAUCUGCACACAUUGAAAUUUCGCUAACUCCUCCGAAGGCUUUCGUUCCACCGGCACCACAUUUGCUCAGGCCAAUCUACACCCCGUGGCCAUUAAAAGUUAUCAAAAUCAUGACGCUGCACCCCAAGGUUUAGGUUCUAGGGGGCGCCAAAGAUAACACUAAAAUCCACAUAUUUAAAAGUCUUAUAACUUUUUAUUUUUGUCCUCACUGGCCUCCAAGUUUUCUAGGAUGAUGCAAUGUCCAGCCAUCAACACAUUUGUGAAGGAAUUUUUACUCCCCAAAAGAGCGCCCCCCAUGGCAGGAGAAAAAAGUCCAUUUUUUCUUGUCCCCUAAGGUGAAAAUACACAUUGUUGAGUGUCACGCCUAUACGCUUUGUCAAAAUGACACAAAAAUUGACACACACAUGUAACUCAAUAAGAUCUACGAAAAAGUCAAUGCGCGCGUAUCUGUCAAAUGUACGGUUAAAGGGUUAUUCCGCAUUUUUUGCCGAUCCGCACACAUUGGAAUGUGGCUAACUCCUCCUAAGGCUUUCGUUCCACCGGCACCACAUUUGCUCAGGCCAAUCUACACCCCAUGGCCAUUAAAAGUUAUCAAAAUCAUGACGCUGCACCCCACGGUUUAGGUUCUAGGGGGCGCCAAAGAUAACCCUAAAAUCCACAUAUUUAAAAGUCUUAUAACUUUUAAUUUUGUCCUCACUGGCCUCCAAGUUUUCUAGGAUGAUGCAAUGUCCAGCCAUCAACACAUUUGUGAAGGAAUUUUUACUCCCCAAAAGAGCGCCCCCCAUGGCAGGAGAAAAAAGUCCAUUUUUUCUUGUCCCCUAAGGUGAAAAUACAUAUUGUUGAGAUUCACGCCUAUACGCUUUGUCAUAUUGACACAAAAUUUGACAAUCACGUGCCUUGCCUGGUAUCAUUUUUUUCAGCACAACCUCACCUGUGCGAAUUUACAGUUAUUUCAUCAUGUUGACAUACUGAAUUUACACAAUGGACCCAAAUUCACACACAAAACAUAAAAUCCGAGUGGAAAAAAGUAACAUUUUUACUGUGAAAACCACAAAUAUGUGUGAUGAACUGUUUUUAAAACUUAAACUUCAAAUAAAAAUUGUAAACUUCAAAACAUAUGCAAAUUUUUAACAAAGAACAUAGUGAUUUACCUCUAUUUACAUCAAAAUGCAGGCAAUGGCCCAGGCGUUCUUUGUAAAAUUAUUUACAAAACACUGUAUAGUCUCACAAAUGUCACUUUUUAUUUAUGCCACUACAAAAAAACAUGAUGUAAAUGAUGCAUGAUGUAAAACAUGAUGUAAAAAACUUGUGUAGAUCCUCCUGUAUGUCAGUCCAUGUGUAAUUUUUCCAUAAUUCUUUGUUUUUUGCAGCAUUUUUGUUAGUGUAACUGCAGAUUGUGCUGACAGUGUCUAUGGCACAAAAAAAAAAAAAUUAAAAUGCCUCAACAUGAACCCCUGGUGGUCUCUGAGGGUGAAACCUGCUAACUGCUGCAGCUCUGUCAGCUUCAGUCUCCCAUGCAGAGCUCUGAGCGCAUGUGUGGCUCUGCACCCUUAGCAGCGUUGCUAACUCCUCAGUAAGGAAAGCCUGCUUCAUGUCAGAGUCUCUAAACUCCAGAAGAAGUCGAUAAAAGUCCCUUUCUUUCUAAAAAAAAGUCGUUAGGGGGUCUGAAAAGUCAUUGAAUCUAACAACAAAGUCGCUAGGUUUGCAACUACGUGUCCCAGACUGCAUCCCUGCUGAGAGUCCCUCCCUCCCUUCUCAUGUUGCAGGAAGAACGUAAGCGUCCGCCCCUUGUCAAUCAGUCACCAUAUAAUUUUGGAUUGGUUGUUGUGGUGAAGUUUUCCACCAAUAGGAGAGAUGUUGUGGUGUGUUUUUUUUCUUUUGGCAAGCCUUUUCCGCCUGUAAGACCUGUCGCUAAUGUCUGCAUGCUAUGUUUUCCUGUCUCAUACAGCGCGAUCGAGCGCCGAACGUGAUCAAAAUAAGCAGAAAACAAGUAUCGCAGACAUAAUUUAUCAUAACUCUGGUUUUAUUUGGCCUAUCAACACAAUUUAAAAACUGGUAUAUAGGUUGAGGUCCUCACUUUUGAGAUAAGUUGAAACGGAGAGUCAACAAGGCUCCGUCUUGCAGCUACAUCCGGUUAAAUAUGUCAUGUGACUUGAACGCACACACAGACACGCACACACACACACACACACACACACACACACACACACACACACACACACACACACACACACACACACUCAGAGUCUGGUUUUAGCACCUGCAAAAACAUGCUAUUUACAUAUUUGACAAGAAUGCAGAGGCUCCUUUUGCCCCUGAAAAAAAUCAAAUUUCAAACACAACUUGACUGCUCAUUUCUCCAAAAGACAACCAUGAAGCUCCAUCCAAACCUGAAGCAGGCAGUUGGUGCAUGUGUACAGUAACCUGAGGGGAGUCAGGUGAGUGCUUCUGAGGAGAACAUGAGCAGUGAAGAUUCACCUUGGAGCUAGAACAGAGACAUGCACAUGAUUAUACAGGGGCAGGGGCUCAAGUUUUUUCCAGUCGUUUAUACAAUAUGGAAAUUAAUGUGAAAUUAAAACACAAAGUAUUAAUAGAAAGGUAAUGACUGUCCUGUGUAGGUGACAGUGAUAUCCAAUAGGCUAGGCACUCACGAGGCUGGCUGUGGCAAGUGUAAGUGAAAGCAACACGCACUGGCAGGAAGAACAGCAAACGCCGAUGAAGGAAAAGGGUCUUUGCAGUGAUGGGCGUUACCAGAGAGGGCGAUGGCCAGAGGACACAAAUGGGACGGGGAGGCAGCACGUUGGGGGGGGGACGCGACACGGCUCGGGCCCGCCAGUGCCCCAACGGGGUCCUAGUUAUUAUUUUUCCUCCCCUUUGAACUGGAAAAUGGCCCACUUCCCACUGGCGAAAACUCAUGAAAUUUGGCAGGACGACCGGGCCUGGUGAAAAAUUUGAUAUUCCGAAGUCGCCCAAACAAGAAAAUGCAAAAUGGCUCCAUAGCGCCCCCUAAGGUGAAAAUUCACACUAUUGACUGUCACGCCUGUACGCUUUGUCAAAAUGACACAAAAAUUGACACACACAUGUAUCUCAAUAAGAUCUACAAAAAAGUCAGUGCGGGCGUAUCUGUCAAAUGUACGGUUAAAGGGUUAUUUCGCAUUUUUUGCCGAUCCGCACACAUUGGAAUUUCGCUAACUCCUCCGAAGGCUUUCGUUCCACCGGCACCACAUUUGCUCAGGCCAAUCUACACCCCAUGGCCAUUAAAAGUUAUUCAAAUCAUGACGCUGCACCCCACGGUUUAGGUUCUAGGGGGCGCCAAAGAUAACCCUAAGAUCCACAUAUUUAAAAGUCUUAUAACUUUUUAUUUUUGCCCUCACUGGCCUCCAAGUUUUCUAGGAUGAUGCAAUGUCCAGCCAUCAACACAUUUGUGAAGGAAUUUUUACUCCCCAAAAGAGCGCCCCCCCAUGGCAGGAGAAAAAAGUCCAUUUUUUCUUGUCCCCUAAGGUGAAAAUACACAUUGUUGAGUGUAACACCUGUACGCUUUGGCAAAAUGACACAAAAAUUGACACACACAUGUAUCUCAAUAAGAUCUACGAAAAAGUCAAUGCGCGCGUAUCUGUCAAAUGUACGGUUAAAGGGUUAUUCCGCAUUUUUUGCCGAUCCGCACACAUUGGAAUUUCGCUAACUCCUCCGAAGGCUUUCGUUCCACCGGCACCACAUUCGCUCAGGCCAAUCUACACCCCAUGGCCAUUAAAAGUUAUUCAAAUCAUGACGCUGCACCCCACGGUUUAGGUUCUAGGGGGCGCCAAAGAUAACCCUAAAAUCCACAUAUUUAAAAGUCUUAUAACUUUUUAUUUUUGUCCUCACUGGCCUCCAAGUUUUCUAGGAUGAUGCAAUGUCCAGCCAUCAACACAUUUGUGAAGGAAUUUUUACUCCCCAAAAGAGCGCCCCCCCAUGGCAGGAGAAAAAAGUCAAUUUUUUCUUGUCCCCUAAGGUGAAAAUACACAUUGUUGAGUGUCACGCCUAUACGCUUUGUCAUAUUGACCCAAAAUUUGACAAUCACGUGUAUCUCAAUAAGAUCUACGAAAAAGUCAAUGGACACGUAUCUGUAAAAUGUACGGUUAAAGGGUUAUUUCGCAUUUUUUCCCGAUCCGCACACAUUGGAAUUUCGCUAACUCCUCCGAAGGCUUUCGUUCCACCGCCAACAAAUUUGCUCAGGCCAAUCUACACCCCAUGGCCAUUCAAAGUUGUACAAAUCAUGACACUGCACUCCACGGUUUAGGUUCUAGGGGGCGCCAAACAUAACCCAAAAAUCCACAUUCUUAAUAGUCUUAUAACUUUUUAUUUUUGUCCUCACUGGCCUCCAAGUUUUCUAGGAUGAUGCAAUGUCCAGCCAUCAACACAUUUGUAAAGGAAUUUUCACUCUCGAAAAGAGCGCCCCCCCAUGGCAGGAGAAAAAAGUCCAUUUUUUCUUGUCUCCUAAGGUGAAAAAACACAUUGUUGACUGUCACGCCUAUACGCUUUGUCAAAAUGACACAAAAUUUGACACACACGUGUAUCUCAAUAAGAUCUACGAAAAAGUCAAUGUGCACGUAUCUGUAAAAUGUACGGUCAAAGGGCUAUUUCGCAUUUUUUCCCGAUCCGCACACAUUGGAAUUUCGCUAACUCCUCCUAAGGCUUUCAUCCACCGACACCAAAUUUGCUCAAGCCGAUCUACAUCCCAUGGCCAUUCAAAGUUGUAAAAAUCAUGACGCUGCACCCCACGGUUUACGUUCUAGGGGGCGCCAAAGAUGACCCAAAUAUCCACAUUCUUAAAAGAAUCCACCCCCCCCUCCCCCCAAGGCAGGAGGAAAAGUCAAGUUUUUCCUGCCCAUUGCUCAAUGGCUCAAUCGCAUCGCUCUCCCGGAUACACCGUAAGGAGGAGCAACUUGCCAUUUGGAUAUGUCCUAGCUGUGUUUGUGCCCUCACUCAUGGUCCAGACUUUUUUCAAAUAGGACAUGUAGUUUGUCUGCAGCGAGUGUUUUGGUAGAAACUGCGCCUCCCAUUCAUUAUAAUGGUAAAUGACCACAGACAAGUGCGCACACCAUCUUUGGACCUUGAGUGUGACGCGAUCGGGAGGGGGAGGCGGUCGCGCUGGGGGCGGCGCGACACGGCUCGGGCCCGACAGUGCCCCACCGGGGCCCUAGUUAUUAUUUUUCCUCCCCUUUGAACUGGAAAAUGGCCCACUUCCCACUGGCGAAAACUCAUGAAAUUUGGCAGGACGACCGGGCCUGGUGAAAAAUUUGAUAUUCUGAAGUCGCCCAAACAAUAAAAUGCAAAAUGGCUCCAUAGCGCCCCCUAAGGUGAAAAUUCACACUAUUCACUGUCACGCCUGUACGCUUUGUCAAAAUGACACAAAAAUUGACACACACAUGUAUCUCAAUAAGAUCUACAAAAAAGUCAGUGCGGGCGUAUCUGUCAAAUGUACGGUUAAAGGGUUAUUUCGCAUUUUUUGCCGAUCCGCACACAUUGGAAUUUCGCUAACUCCUCCGAAGGCUUUCGUUCCACCGGCACCACAUUUGCUCAGGCCAAUCUACACCCCAUGGCCAUUAAAAGUUAUUCAAAUCAUGACGCUGCACCCCACGGUUUAGGUUCUAGGGGGCGCCAAAGAUAACCCUAAGAUCCACAUAUUUAAAAGUCUUAUAACUUUUUAUUUUUGCCCUCACUGGCCUCCAAGUUUUCUAGGAUGAUGCAAUGUCCAGCCAUCAACACAUUUGUGAAGGAAUUUUUACUCCCCAAAAGAGCGCCCCCCCAUGGCAGGAGAAAAAAGUCCAUUUUUUCUUGUCCCCUAAGGUGAAAAUACACAUUGUUGAGUGUAACACCUGUACGCUUUGGCAAAAUGACACAAAAAUUGACACACACAUGUAUCUCAAUAAGAUCUACGAAAAAGUCAAUGCGCGCGUAUCUGUCAAAUGUACGGUUAAAGGGUUAUUCCGCAUUUUUUGCCGAUCCGCACACAUUGGAAUUUCGCUAACUCCUCCGAAGGCUUUCGUUCCACCGGCACCACAUUUGCUCAGGCCAAUCUACACCCCAUGGCCAUUAAAAGUUAUUCAAAUCAUGACGCUGCACCCCACGGUUUAGGUUCUAGGGGGCGCCAAAGAUAACCCUAAAAUCCACAUAUUUCAAAGUCUUAUAACUUUUUAUUUUUGUCCUCACUGGCCUCCAAGUUUUCUAGGAUGAUGCAAUGUCCAGCCAUCAACACAUUUGUGAAGGAAUUUUUACUCCCCAAAAGAGCGCCCCCCCAUGGCAGGAGAAAAAAGUCAAUUUUUUCUUGUCCCGUAAGGUGAAAAUUCACAUUGUUGAGUGUGACACCUGUACGCUUUGUCAUAUUGACACAAAAUUUGACAAUCACGUGUAUCUCAAUAAGAUCUACGAAAAAGUCAAUGCACGCGUAUCUGUCAAAUGUACGGUUAGAGGGCUAUUUUGCAUUUUUUGCCGAUUUGCACACAUUGGAAAGUGGCUAACUCCUCCUAAGGCUUUCGUCCCACUGAAACCAAAUUUGCUCAGGCCAAUCUACACCCCAUGGCCAUUCAAAGUUGUAAAAAUCAUGACGCUGCACCCCACGGUUUACGUUCUAGGGGGCGCCAAAGAUGACCCAAAAAACCACAUUCUUAAAAGAAUCCACAUUCCCCCCCGCCCAUGGCAGGAGAAAAAGUCAAGUUUUUCCUGCCCAUCGCUCAAUGGCUCAAUCGCAUCCCUCUCCAGGCAACACCGUAAGGAGGAGCAACCUGCCAUUUGGAUAUAUCCUAGCUGUGUUUGUGCCCUCACUCAUGGUCCAGACUUUUUUCAAAUAGGACAUGAAGUUUGUCUGCAGCGAGUGUUUUGGUAGAAACUGCGCCUCCCAUUCAUUAUAAUGGGAAAUGACCACAGACAAGUGCGCACACCAUCUUUGGACCUUGAGUGUGACGCGAUCGGGAGGGGGAGGCGGUCGCGCUGGGGGCGGCGCGACGCGGCUCGGGCCCGACAGUGCCCCACCGGGGUCCUAGUUAGGGCCCGAGCGUAGCUGCUAAGCAGCUGCGAGAGCCCUCUUGUUCCUGCAUGUUUCCUUCUUUUGUUAUUAUUAGGGCCCGAGCGUAGCUGCUAAGCAGCUGCGAGAGCCCUCUUGUUCCUGAUGGAUUCUUCUUUAGGGCCCGAGCGUAGCUGCUAAGCAGCUGCGAGAGCCCUCUUGUUCCUGUAGUUUCCUUCUUUUGUUAUUAUUAUUAUUUUUCCUCCCCUUUGAACUGGAAAAUGGCCCACUUCCCACUGGCGAAAACUCAUGAAAUUUGGCAGGACGACCGGGCCUGGUGAAAAAUUUGAUAUUCUGAAGUCGCCCAAACAAUAAAAUGCAAAAUGGCUCCAUAGCGCCCCCUAAGGUGAAAAUUCACACUAUUCACUGUCACGCCUGUACGCUUUGUCAAAAUGACACAAAAAUUGACACACACAUGUAUCUCAAUAAGAUCUACAAAAAAGUCAGUGCGGGCGUAUCUGUCAAAUGUACGGUUAAAGGGUUAUUUCGCAUUUUUUGCCGAUCCGCACACAUUGGAAUUUCGCUAACUCCUCCGAAGGCUUUCGUUCCACCGGCACCACAUUUGCUCAGGCCAAUCUACACCCCAUGGCCAUUAAAAGUUAUUCAAAUCAUGACGCUGCACCCCACGGUUUAGGUUCUAGGGGGCGCCAAAGAUAACCCUAAGAUCCACAUAUUUAAAAGUCUUAUAACUUUUUAUUUUUGCCCUCACUGGCCUCCAAGUUUUCUAGGAUGAUGCAAUGUCCAGCCAUCAACACAUUUGUGAAGGAAUUUUUACUCCCCAAAAGAGCGCCCCCCCAUGGCAGGAGAAAAAAGUCCAUUUUUUCUUGUCCCCUAAGGUGAAAAUACACAUUGUUGAGUGUAACACCUGUACGCUUUGGCAAAAUGACACAAAAUUUGACACACACGUGUAUCUCAAUAAGAUCUACGAAAAAGUCAACGCGCGCGUAUCUGUCAAAUGUACGGUUAAAGGGUUAUUCCGCAUUUUUUGCCAAUCCGCACACAUUGGAAUUUCGCUAACUCCUCCGAAGGCUUUCGUUCCACCGGCACCACAUUUGCUCAGGCCAAUCUACACCCCAUGGCCAUUAAAAGUUAUUCAAAUCAUGACGCUGCACCCCACGGUUUAGGUUCUAGGGGGAGCCAAAGAUAACCGUAAAAUCCACAUAUUUAAAAGUCUUAUAACUUUUUAUUUUUGUCCCCACUGGCCUCCAAGUUUUCUAGGAUGAUGCAAUGUCCAGCCAUCAACACAUUUGUGAAGGAAUUUUUACUCGGAAAAAGAGCGCCCCCCAUGGCAGGAGAAAAAAGUCAAUUUUUUCUUGUCCACUAAGGUGAAAAUACACAUUGUUGAGUGCUAAGCUUGUAUGUUUUGUCGUAGUGACACAAAAUUUUACAUACACGUGUAUUUCAAUAAGAUCUUCGAAAAAGUCAAUGGCCACGUAUCUGUAAAAUGUACGGUUAAAGGGUUAUUUCGCAUUUUUUGCAGAUUCGCACACAUUGGAAUGUGGCUAAUUCCUCCGAAGGCUUUCGUUCCACCGGCACCACAUUUGCUCAGGCCAAUCUACACCCCAUGGCCAUUAAAAGUUAUUCAAAUCAUGACGCUGCACCCCACGGUUUAGGUUCUAGGGGGCGCCAAAGAUAACCCUAAAAUCCACAUAUUUAAAAGUCUUAUAACUUUUUAUUUUUGUCCUCACUGGCCUCCAAGUUUUCUAGGAUGAUGCAAUGUCCAGCCAUCAACACAUUUGUGAAAGAAUUUUUUCUCCCCAAAAGAGCGCCCCCCAUGGCAGGAGAAAAAGUUAAGUUUUUCCUGCCCUUCGCCCAAUGGCUCAAACGCAUCGCUCUCUCGGCAAAACCGAAAGGAGGAGCAACUUGCCAUUUGGAUAUAUGGAAGCUGUGUUUGUGCCCUCACUCAUGGUCCAGACUUUUUUCAAAAAGGACAUGGAGUUUGUCUGCAGCGAGCAUUUUGGUAGAAACUGCGCCUCCCAUUCAUUAUAAUGGUAAAUGACCACAGACAAGUGCGCACACCAUCUUUGGACCUUGAGUGUGACGCGAUCGGGAGGGGGAGGCGGUCGCGCUGGGGGCGGCGCGACACGGCUCGGGCCCGCCAGUGCCCCACCGGGGCCCUAGUUUGUUAUUAUUAUUAUUAUUUUUCCUCCGCUUUAAACUGGAAAAUGGCCCACUUCCCACUGGCGAAAACUCAUGAAAUUUGGCAGGACGACCGGGCCUGGUGAAAAAUUCGAUAUUCUGAAGUCGCCCAAACAAUAAAAUGCAAAAUGGCUCCAUAGCGCCCCCUAAGGUGGAAAUUCACACUAUUGACUGUCACGUCUGUACGUUUUGUCAUAUUGACACAAAAA